GACGAACGCUGGCGGCGUGCUUAACACAUGCCAGUCGAACGGAAAGGCCCUGCUUUUGUGGGGUGCUCGAGUUGCGAACGGGUGAGUAACCCGUGAGUAACCUGCCCUUGACUUUGGGAUAACUUCAGGAAACUGGGGCUAAUCCCGGCUAGGAGCUCCUGCUGCAUGGUGGGGGUUGGAAAGUUUCGGCGGUUGGGGAUGGACUCGCGGCUUAUCAGCUUGUUGGUGGGGUAGUGGCUUACCAAGGCUUUGACGGGUAGCCGGCCUGAGAGGGUGACCUGACACAUUGGGCCUGGACUACGGCCCAGACUCGUACGGGAGGCAGCAGUGGGGAAUAGUGCACAAUGGGCGGAAGCCUGAUGCAGCCACGCCGCGUGGGGGAUGACGGCCUUCGGGUUGGAAACCGCAUUCGCCUGUGACGAAGCGUGAGUGACGGUAAUGGGUAAAGAAGCACCGGCUAACUACGUG
Molecule: ribosomal RNA, 468 nt
Filed under: uncultured bacterium
Lineage: Bacteria
Description: partial 16S ribosomal RNA
Rfam family: Bacterial small subunit ribosomal RNA
Source: RNAcentral